RNAcentral lists this ribosomal RNA (258 nucleotides) under uncultured bacterium. RNAcentral's name for it is "partial 16S ribosomal RNA". It matches the Rfam family "Bacterial small subunit ribosomal RNA", at positions 334 to 589 of the family's 1533-position model. The record is from RNAcentral.
UGUGCCUACGGGGGGCAGCAGUGAGGAAUAUUGGUCAAUGGGAGAGAUCCUGAACCAGCCAAGCCGCGUGAGGGAAGACGGCCCUAUGGGUUGUAAACCUCUUUUGUCGGAGAACAAAACCCGGGACGAGUCCCGGACUGCGUGUAUCCGAAGAAAAAGCAUCGGCUAACUCCGUGCCAGCAGCCGCGGUAAUACGGAGGAUGCGAGCGUUAUCCGGAUUUAUUGGGUUUAAAGGGUGCGUAGGCGGUCCGUUAAGUC